This 72-nucleotide transfer RNA is filed under the name Trichonephila inaurata madagascariensis. It matches the Rfam family "tRNA". Rfam says of the family: Transfer RNA (tRNA) molecules are approximately 80 nucleotides in length. Their secondary structure includes four short double-helical elements and three loops (D, anti-codon, and T loops). Lineage: Eukaryota; Metazoa; Arthropoda; Arachnida; Araneae; Nephilidae. The record is from Rfam by way of RNAcentral.
GUCCUGUAGCGCAAUGAAUAGUGUGUUGGACUUCUAAUCCAAAGGUUAUGGGUUCGAAUCCCACCUGAGAUG